This 754-nucleotide long non-coding RNA is filed under the name Haliotis rubra (blacklip abalone). Its description in RNAcentral is "uncharacterized LOC124265062, transcript variant X3". Lineage: Eukaryota; Metazoa; Mollusca; Gastropoda; Lepetellida; Haliotidae. The record is from RNAcentral.
ACUUUUAUCAGAUUGCAAACUUUCCCGGAGUUGUGGGGGUGAUCGACGGAACGCACGUUCAGAUUCAAGCCCCAACAGUAAACGAAAAUGAGUUUGUAAACCGGCAUCACUACCACAGCAUCAAUACACAGAUCGCUUUCGAAAGCGAAGACAGGAUAAUUGACGUUGUCGCUCGGUAGCCUGGAUCGACACACGAUUCACGCAUAUUGACCAACAGCCGUCUCUACCAGUUGUUCGACCGGAAUGUUGUCCCCAUCGGAUGUCACCUUCUCGGUGACAGUGGUUACCCCUGUAAGAAGUGUCUACUAACCCCUUUCCUAAGACCAUUGGCAGGAUCACAAACAAACUACAACAGAUCGCAUAAAAGAACAAGGAGCAGUGUUGAGAGGGCCAUUGGCCAAUUCAAGCGCAGAUUUCCUGUUCUUCAUGGGGAAAUCAGGUUAAAACCUGAGAAGGCUUGCAAGGUGAUCAUAGCAUGUGCUGUCCUUCACAACAUAUGCAAGGACAGGAACAUUCCAUUACCACCCACAGAUGGGCAUGAUGGAUUUGGAAGGCAUGAUGAGCAGAAUGGAGGUCUACCAGGAAUCACUCCACCAGUGGCUGCACUGAGAUAUAGGGAGCAUUUUGCCAAUACAAACUUUCCAUCUGCAAUUUCUGUUUUAACAGAGCUUCCACUGUGUGGCAUCCUGGAGCAUCUGGAUGGACUGCUGGCUCCUCAGGACCCAUUCUGGCUCCCUCUGGCUGUGGAUUGGGG